CCCGAUUAUGUUACUUUUACGGCAUGGAUUAUGAUUAAUGACCUACAAGAAGUUAUAUAAUAAAGACAAGGAUGUGUAGUAUGGUUGCCAAUGAGACAAAUAUCUACCAGAGUUAAAAAAAAAUGCGAAUUUAAGCAAUAAUAGGAAACUUUACGAUCUUGAACAAUUGUAAAAGAUAGUACCUUGUUAUAAAAGGCCCCG
Molecule: long non-coding RNA, 201 nt
Filed under: Mytilus galloprovincialis (Mediterranean mussel)
Lineage: Eukaryota; Metazoa; Mollusca; Bivalvia; Mytilida; Mytilidae
Source: RNAcentral